CCUGUGGCUCUCCGGAACAAUAAACCCCCGGCCCCAGUGAUGUGGGCCAGACCGGACCUGGAGAGGCGGCACCGCGACCCCUCCCGCAACCCGCCUGGCGGCCGGGGGCAGCGUGACCCGGCCCGCUACCGUGUCACAGCUGACGACUGACAAACAGCAGGCGACGUCGGGAGAACUCCCCGAGACACACGAGACAUCAGCCUUCUCGCUCCGCGGCCCUGCAGGACCUGCCCGCCGGGAGCCCCGGAGUCCGCGGCAGCGCCGAGGGCCCCUCCCCCAGGCCUCUGGGCUCUGAGGCUCAUCCAUGGAAUACCAAUUCUUUUUCUUAGUGUUCACAUUGGAUUUUUCUGUUAAAAAUAGAUUGUUGGAGUUGGCUAACAAGUUGAUGACUUCCAGUCAGGCACUCUCUUCUGUAAAGUCUCUUUUGUAAACUCCUACAAGCAGCUAUUUCACUGGAUUUGAAAAGACUGACUAAAAAGAACCAUGCACUGUGACUCUCAAGUAUACAGGAAUAUUGUUAUUAGGUAAUUUUUUUUUCAAUAUGCGUUAACCUUGUCUUCC
RNAcentral lists this long non-coding RNA (561 nucleotides) under Pan troglodytes (chimpanzee). RNAcentral's name for it is "long non-coding RNA NONPTRT011379". The record is from RNAcentral. Lineage: Eukaryota; Metazoa; Chordata; Mammalia; Primates; Hominidae.